GACGAACGCUGGCGGCGUGCUUAACACAUGCAAGUCGAACGAAAAUACCAAGCUUGCGUGGUUGAUUAGUGGCGAACGGGUGAGUAACACGUGAGUAACCUGCCCCUUACUUUCCUGGAUAACUUCUCGAAAGGGUAGCUAAUACGGGAUAUUCUGACCAGCCUGCAUGGGUUGGUUGGGAAAGGUUGUUUUUCUGGUAAGGGCUGGGCUCGCGGCCGAUGAGCUUGUUGGUGGGGUGAUGGCCUACCAAGGCUUUGACGGGUAGCCGGCCUGCGAGUGUGGGGCGUGAGAGUGGGACUGAGAUACGGGCGACACUGAUACGGGCGGCAGCCGUGGGGAAGAUUGCAGGAUGGGCGCAAGCCUGAUGCAGCGACGCCGGGUGAGGGAUGAAGGCGUUCGGGUUGUAAGCCUCUUUCGUCAGAGAACAAGGCACUGCUUUUUUGGUGGUGUUGACGGUACCUGGAUAAGAAGCGCCGGCUAACUACGUG
This 488-nucleotide ribosomal RNA is filed under the name uncultured bacterium. RNAcentral's name for it is "partial 16S ribosomal RNA". It matches the Rfam family "Bacterial small subunit ribosomal RNA", at positions 28 to 507 of the family's 1533-position model. The record is from RNAcentral.